UCUAUCUCAAAAAUAAACAUUAAAAUAAUUAAAAAAAUAGAGAAGAUUGGCAUGGUAACUUUGCAAAGAGGACACACAAAUUCAUGAAGUGUUCCAUGUUGUU
This is a small nuclear RNA of Panthera uncia (snow leopard), 103 nucleotides long. NCBI's taxonomy places the organism in Eukaryota, Metazoa, Chordata, Mammalia, Carnivora, Felidae. The record is from RefSeq and is a predicted model, not a curated record.